Long non-coding RNA from Helianthus annuus (common sunflower), 1818 nucleotides. RefSeq lists it as uncharacterized. The record is from RefSeq and is a predicted model, not a curated record. NCBI's taxonomy places the organism in Eukaryota, Viridiplantae, Streptophyta, Magnoliopsida, Asterales, Asteraceae. The transcript has 9 exons.
ACGUGCGUUUCUUUUCCAAAACCCUAGAGAGCCUCCAUCUCCAUCUCCAUUCUCUAUCUCCAUUCCAAUGAUCAUCUCCUCACAUGUCUUUCCUAAUGAAUUCCAUCUGAGCAUCGUGAAUCCUUCAUUCGUUUCAUUCAACACGGCUAUUCUGACCCAAAUUAAAGGACGCUUCUUUCUAAACCCUAGCCUCCUUCAUCUCGCUCUUCUGGAUCAAUCAUAUUCUCAUCAAAUGGUUCAAUAAUCAGGUAUGAUUCCUUUCAAUCACAGAUCCAUGUAUCUCGAUCUAAAUCUCCCCUCUCUAUUGGAAACGAAGCCAUUGUUGUCUUAACGGUUUGUAACGGUUGGAGAUUGAGAUUAGUAGAUGGUGGAUGCAUUGUGGUAAUGGAUCUUAUGGCGAGGUUUAUCAUUCCAGAAUGGUGAUGGGACUGUAAGUUGCUUUGUUAAUACUAUAGUUAUCGUGUUAAGUUGUUUAUACAAUUUAUAAUAAGUUGUUAAGCAUAUUGCGUAUUUAACUUUGAUAUGUACAAUUUUGCUAUUGGGAUACGAAUGUCAUUGUUUUGGUUCAAGUGGUUACAUCAUUAAUCCAAAUACUACUUACUUUUGAUUUUCUUAGAAGAUAUUAUGUUUAAACUUGCAAAAGAUUCUUUCCAAUUGGUACGAAGUUUAUUUACUUAAUGGUAUAUGCUUACAUUAAUAUGUUGCAAUUUAGAAAUUUCCAGGGAUGGAUUCAAACGGGUCAAAAGUUGCCUGAAGUGUUUUGAGUUCAUUCUACGGUAUCUUUUACGUUUCCAAUUCAACCAAACUAGAAUAUGUUUCAAAAUUUGUAGCUGCCCUGGUAACCAUCCAAAAUAAUUUUGUUUUUUAGUUAUUUUGUUUGUCCAUAAUUGUUCUCAAUUUCUCAUGUUGUAGCUUUUUACUUUUGGGUCAGUGCACCUUAAAAGAGAAGUUUACUCUUGACGCAAAGGAUUUCAAGCUAUAUGAGGAAAUUGUUGAAUGAGUUAGUGCCUCAUGUAUUGAGCUCUUUGUGUCCCUUUGAACUAGACGGUUGCCAGCAGGGUUCUUGAUUUGGAAAAAAGUUGUAACAAUGACCUGGUCACUGAAAAUCAAAAACCUGGUUCUUAGUGAAGAAAUGAUUUCCACUUGCGUGUUGAAGUAAGUGUGUGCUACAACAAGUUGCAGACAACUAAAUUUGGUUGUGAAGGAACAUAUCGGCUGUUGUUCAGGUUACAUGCUAAAGCAUACUCUGUGAAAAGGCAAGGACUUUGUUAAGAUAAAAUUUUGAUAUAUGCGGACAUGGUGGCAAUCGAUGGUUCUCGGACUAUUAAAAUUGUUGAACCAAGCCCUUUCGUUUUGUUUGUAUAUAGAAUAGUACCUUAUCCUCAGGAAACAAGUCAGAACAGUCUAGGAGGUGAACCAAUUUCUAAUGACUUAAUCUACCUUCAGGUACGUGUAACACUGGUUUAGGUACGUGUAAUAGUUGGUUGAUGAAUGUUAUUUAUCAUAUAUCUAUAGUGGGGACUUUAGUAUUUAAUGUGCCGGGUUGAUUUAGCCCUCAAAAUAGUUUGUUUUAUUAAAUAAGAUUAGGAUUCUAGCAUUAUUUUUAGCGAAAAGUAGGCAUCCUAGCAGAAAAUAGUCAAAGAGGUCAAAGUUCUUGCAUUCCUAUGGAUUAGAAAUUGAGCAAGAAUGAAUGCACUUGGCUGGGAGGAAUGGAAAACGCUCAAAGUGUAAAGUGUAAUGAUACGUUUAGUGGAAUGUAAUAUGUAUGAUGUAAAUACUUUGGUGUUUGGGUUAAGCUUUCGGCUUUCCCUAUAUUAA